UACAGAGGUGGCAAGCGUUGUUCGGAAUUACUGGGCGUAAAGGGCGCGUAGGCGGUCUUGUAAGUCUUGUGUGAAAUCCCUCGGCUCAACUGAGGAACUGCCUUUGAAACUGUCUGGCUUGAGGCCGGGAGAGGGUAGCGGAAUUCCCAGUGUAGCGGUGAAAUGCGUAGAUACUGGGAGGAACACCGGUGGCGAAGGCGGCUACCUGGACCGGUUCUGACGCUGAUGCGCGAAAGCGUGGGUAGCAAACAGG
RNAcentral lists this ribosomal RNA (253 nucleotides) under uncultured bacterium. RNAcentral's name for it is "partial 16S ribosomal RNA". It matches the Rfam family "Bacterial small subunit ribosomal RNA", at positions 524 to 776 of the family's 1533-position model. The record is from RNAcentral.